RNAcentral lists this ribosomal RNA (253 nucleotides) under uncultured bacterium. RNAcentral describes it as "partial 16S ribosomal RNA". It matches the Rfam family "Bacterial small subunit ribosomal RNA", at positions 524 to 776 of the family's 1533-position model. The record is from RNAcentral.
UACGAAGGGAGCUAGCGUUGUUCGGAAUCACUGGGCGUAAAGCGCACGUAGGCGGAUGUGUCAGUCAGGGGUGAAAUCCCGGAGCUCAACUUCGGAACUGCCCUUGAUACAGCACGUCUUGAGUCCGGAAGAGGUGGGUGGAAUUCCUAGUGUAGAGGUGAAAUUCGUAGAUAUUAGGAAGAACACCGGUGGCGAAGGCGGCCCACUGGUCCGGUACUGACGCUGGGGUGCGAAAGCGUGGGGAGCAAACAGG